This is a small nucleolar RNA of Cyprinus carpio carpio, 77 nucleotides long. Its record names the gene SNORD83. It matches the Rfam family "Small nucleolar RNA SNORD83". From Rfam's summary of the family: U83 (SNORD83) and U84 (SNORD84) are members of the C/D class of snoRNA which contain the C (UGAUGA) and D (CUGA) box motifs. They act as guanine methylation guides but lack complementarity to ribosomal RNA. U83 and U84 are spliced from introns 5 and 4 of the BAT1 gene in mammals. Lineage: Eukaryota; Metazoa; Chordata; Actinopteri; Cypriniformes; Cyprinidae. The record is from Ensembl.
GCCACAUGAUGUGACGUAGAUUGCAUUAGCACUCUGUGUGAAGAUGACCUGCUAUCUAUCACCCAUGACUGAUGGCU